GUUUGUAAAUAGACAUACCAAAUAAAUAUUAAUUGGUAAAACUUUCUGAAAUCACAUUUACUCUCUAUAAUAAUAUCCAUUACAUAUAUAUGUGUAUAAAAAGUAUAAUUUUUUUAUACUACAACAUGAAUUUCCAUGUUAUAAAAAUAUUUCAAACCCACUAACAUACAACACAGACAUACCAAACAAUGAAGGAAUAGCUAGCACAAAUUGCGAGAAAUUAAAAAUUCUACCCCCCUUCCCAUUGUUUAGAUAAACUUUUUAAAAAUUAAAAUGUAUUGCAUGUAAAAGCAAAAGUUAAAAGAUUGAGUUACCUUAUACAAAGCAAAAAACUUUUAAAAAAUCAAGUGACCACCAUAAAUCUAUUAUUUAUAUAUAUAUCUAUAUAAAGAGCACAAAUGUUAAAACAAAGAUUUCAAAAUAUUAAAAAAAAAGAUACACAUAAAACUAUGGUUUCUGAAAAGGCCAUCAUGGGCAACCAGAAAACUGGGUAAUAUCAUAAGAAAAGUACAACACAUGUACAAUAUAUAUGAUAUGUAUUUAUGACUGAAAACUUUUGAUUUAAAUUUAAGGUUUCUUUUUGUAUUGACUUUAAUAUAGGUUGUCAGUAACAUCCACAUUUUAAUAACUAGAAUUUGUUUUAGAAAUUAUUUGAAGUAGAAAAACAUGCUAUCGAUUUGGGUUAUCUUCCCUUUGACCAAUAUAUCAUGACAUUUUAUUACCUUUAAAAAUAAUUUUUCACUUAAUUGAUCAUAAAUAAAUGUAUAACGGGACAUAAUUAAAAAACAUUUUUUACUUUUAAACAUGUUAUAAUAUUAAACUGUUUUGCAGUGUUAUAAAAUGCUUAAAAUCAGCAUUCAUUUUUUGUAACAAUAUCUGUACAGGUAUUCCAUAAAAGGUUAACACUAAAAAGCUUUUAGAAAAAUUAAAAAAUUACAUACACAUUCAGAUAUGUGUGUUAAUUACAUACAAUUUAAAACAAGUUCUACAGACGUAUUAUGUUAAAUCCUCUAUUUGCCACUCAAGUUUGAGUUUGCAAAAAUAUGUUCUAUUGAAGUGAAUAUUCAUACUUUUAACCACAAAGAAAAUUUGACAUAUUAAUUUAACAUUACAGUAAACACAAAUUUUGCCCUGAUUAAAAAAGGGAGUUGGAAUUUCUAUCUUCACAGAGAUAGACAAAAAUCAUAUAACUCAGUUAAAGUAAAUACUUUUUAACUUCUGUAUAAUCCAAUAUAAACUACCCAAAUGAGCUAAAAUAAUCUAUAUGGAAUUUUAGAUUUUCUUAUUCAAGAUUUCAUGCUCAUUCUAUACAAAAACUGCAAAUAAGAAUUAAAAAAAAUAACCCGAAUUAGAUAGGAAAUUGCAUUGUUUCUGGAAGCGUAAACUGACUAGACAUUCUUAUUCAUUAUAACCUAAUUAUAAAUUUAUUUAUAGUUGAAGCCCAAGAGAUUUUUUUACCAAGUUAUUAAAAAGGAACAAAUAUAUCAUAUGGAGAGUGCACUAUCCUAUUUUGAGAAUUAACUAUAAUGUCUUAAUUUCCACUUAUUUAUCCAUUUAGACACUUAUACUCUAAUCAAUCUGGACUUAAACUUGUAGCUUUUAUGAUAAUUUUAACAAUAUACUCAGGAAUUUAUAAUAAAUAUUAACUAUAGAAAAAACUCAUAUCCAAUCCCAAAUAUAGCACUUUCAUAGCCCAUAAACUAUAGAUAUUAAUUUUACUUUAUAA
RNAcentral lists this long non-coding RNA (1726 nucleotides) under Mytilus galloprovincialis (Mediterranean mussel). The record is from RNAcentral. Lineage: Eukaryota; Metazoa; Mollusca; Bivalvia; Mytilida; Mytilidae.